GUCCCAGUCAAUGGAUGAAUUUAAUGUGUCAAUCAAUGGCCACAGCCACACUGUUUUGAAUUUCAUUCUAUGUUGGCUUAGCGAGAUGUAGAAAUACACAGGCAAGUUAUUGGAAUAAAAGGGUAAUCUCGAUGCCUCGCGUAGGGUAGGAAUCACGCUUUGAUGACAUUACGCAACCCUGGCGACACUAAUCUGCGCGGUCCGCAUUUUACCUGUUGCAAGGCAAAAAGUCUUCUCCUUUCCAUUAUACACAAAUGGCAGCCCAUAUUUCUCGUCCUUCAUCCCGGUCGGUCUGUCUUGCAGAACCAACCUACUUAUAUUGUAUCAAUCGUUAAUGAGAUAUCGUUCUGAAUAUGCGUGAAAUGUUUGGUACUCGAGAUUAAGCAAGCAACAACUGGUAAAUCAAUAAACUCAUGUAUGAUCAAAAUACCAGGUGUUAUUAGUAGACGCGUGCUGUGUCUACAUAGAACACAUCAAUGGCGACACAAUACAAAAAGUUAGACGGCUAAACUAAUUAAAUAUUCCAAACAAAGGUUUCGUGUCCGAUCGUUAUAGUUUUUUUUUGGGGUUUUUUUUUUUGGCGCAUUUGAAUCAGUUUUCAAUGUAACAUUCAUCCAAUCCUCGGUGCCUUAUUCAUUUGUUGACCUUUUGUUUAAUUUUUUAAAUCCGAAUGUCCUAGCAAAUACCAAAAAAUGAGUUUGAUAUUAUUUCUUUGAAACAGAAACAUUUACCUCCUAGUUUCUUUAACUUUACAUUCUUUUUUUUUCUUUAAUGUUCUUCUACUUACUUAUUUUGAAGUUUUAGCAAUCACUAAUAUUGUCUUCUUAUUUCUUCGUUUAUCUUUAGUAUUGAUUACUAUACUAUAUAUAAAAAUAUUAAUUUUCGCGAACCAUUUAGGUCACGGAAAUUCCAAAAUAUGGCAUCAGUAAGGAGAGUUGUACAAACAAUGUAAAUACACAGAACCCCAUCCAAACUUGCUUUAGCUAAUAGUAUUCAUCUUUUUCUAUUUUAUAUGUACA
This 1019-nucleotide long non-coding RNA is filed under the name Mytilus galloprovincialis (Mediterranean mussel). Lineage: Eukaryota; Metazoa; Mollusca; Bivalvia; Mytilida; Mytilidae. The record is from RNAcentral.